This 445-nucleotide ribosomal RNA is filed under the name uncultured bacterium. RNAcentral's name for it is "SSU rRNA". It matches the Rfam family "Bacterial small subunit ribosomal RNA", at positions 26 to 518 of the family's 1533-position model. The record is from RNAcentral.
AGAACGAACGCUGGCGGCAGGCCUCAAACAUGCAAGUCUAGGGGGUGUAGCAAUACAUCACCGGCGGACGGGUGCGUAACACGUGGGAAUAUACCUUUUGGUUCGGAACAACGCAGGGAAACUUGCGCUAAUACCGAAUGUGCCCUUACGGGGAAAGAUUUAUCGCCAAAGGAUUAGCCCGCGUCCGAUUAGCUAGUUGGUGAGGUAAUGGCUCACCAAGGCUCCGAUCGGUAGCUGUUCUGAGAGGAAGAUCAGCCACACUGGGACUGAGACACGGCCCAGACUCCUACGGGAGGCAGCAGUUGGGAAUCUUGGACAAUGGGGAAACCCUGAUCCAGCCAUGCCGCGUGAGUGAUGAAGGCCUUCGGGUUGUAAACUCUUUCGACGGGGACAUAAUGACGGUACCCGUAGAAGAAGCUCCGGCUAACUUCGUGCCAGCAGCCGC